This 429-nucleotide ribosomal RNA is filed under the name Verrucomicrobiota bacterium. RNAcentral's name for it is "Verrucomicrobia bacterium partial 16S ribosomal RNA". It matches the Rfam family "Bacterial small subunit ribosomal RNA", at positions 355 to 776 of the family's 1533-position model. The record is from RNAcentral. Lineage: Bacteria; Pseudomonadati; Verrucomicrobiota.
UAGGGAAUCUUCCGCAAUGGACGAAGGUCUGACGGAGCAACGCCGCGUGAGUGAAGAAGGAUUUCGGUUCGUAAAACUCUGUUGUUAGGGAAGAAAAAAUGUAUAGUAACUAUAUACAAAAGAGACGGUACCUAACCAGAAAGCCACGGCUAACUACGUGCCAGCAGCCGCGGUAAUACGUAGGUGGCAAGCGUUGUCCGGAAUUAUUGGGCGUAAAGCGCGCGCAGGUGGUUUAGAAAGUCUGAUGUGAAAGCCCACGGCUCAACCGUGGAGGGUCAUUGGAAACUAAUAAACUUGAGUGCAGGAGAGAAAAGUGGAAUUCCUAGUGUAGCGGUGAAAUGCGUAGAGAUUAGGAGGAACACCGGUGGCGAAAGCGGCUUUUUGGCCUGCAACUGACACUGAGGCGCGAAAGCGUGGGGAGCAAACAGG